CGGCGAACGGGUGCGUAAUGCAUGGGAAUCUGCCUAGUAGUGGGGAAUAACCCGGCGAAAGCCGGGCUAAUGCCGCAUACGACCUACGGGUGAAAGCGGGGGACCGCAAGACCUCGCGCUAUUAGAUGAGCCCAUGUCGGAUUAGCUAGUUGGUAGGGUAACGGCCUACCAAGGCGACGAUCCGUAGCUGGUCUGAGAGGACGGCCAGCCACACUGUGACUGAGACACGGCCCAG
This 235-nucleotide ribosomal RNA is filed under the name uncultured bacterium. Its description in RNAcentral is "partial 16S ribosomal RNA". It matches the Rfam family "Bacterial small subunit ribosomal RNA", at positions 96 to 334 of the family's 1533-position model. The record is from RNAcentral.